GGAAGUCCGGUGCAAAUCCGGCACGGUCGCGCCACUGUGUGCCGGGGCUCCUCCCCUUCCGGGGGCGGUGUCACGGUGAGUCAGAC
RNAcentral lists this non-coding RNA (86 nucleotides) under Streptomyces venezuelae. The record is from RNAcentral. Lineage: Bacteria; Bacillati; Actinomycetota; Actinomycetes; Kitasatosporales; Streptomycetaceae.